AAGACCUUACUUCAUAGGAUCAUUUCUAUAGUAAGCUCUUCACGAGAUCAACACGCUACGUGUGAUCGUACCAGUCGCGAAGAUGAGACGUGGCGCGGCGUCGGCUUCGGCCGUCAGCCCUCGAUGAUCGUUCACUCCUCUCUCUCGGGAGAGGAGCGUGGGGCGCUGUCGCUGGCUGAGCGGC
Nymphalis io (European peacock) is the source of this 184-nucleotide small nucleolar RNA. RefSeq annotates it as small nucleolar RNA U3. The record is from RefSeq and is a predicted model, not a curated record. The transcript has a single exon. Lineage: Eukaryota; Metazoa; Arthropoda; Insecta; Lepidoptera; Nymphalidae.